GAUGAACGCUGGCGGCGUGCCUAAUACAUGCAAGUAGAACGCUGAAGGAGGAGCUUGCUCUUCUGGAUGAGUUGCGAACGGGUGAGUAACGCGUAGGUAACCUGCCUGGUAGCGGGGGAUAACUAUUGGAAACGAUAGCUAAUACCGCAUGACAACAGUUAUUGCAUGAUAACUGUUUAAAAGGGGCAACUGCUCCACUACCAGAUGGACCUGCGUUGUAUUAGCUAGUUGGUGAGGUAACGGCUCACCAAGGCCACGAUACAUAGCCGACCUGAGAGGGGGAUCGGCCACACUGGGACUGAGACCCGGCCCAGAAUCCUACGGGAGGGAGCAGUAGGGAAUCUUCGGCAAUGGGCGGAAGUCUGACCGAGCAACGCCGCGUGAGUGAAGAAGGGUUUCGGAUCGUAAAGCUCUGUUGUAAGAGAAGAACGAGUGUGAGAGUGGAAAGUUCACACUGUGACGGUAUCUUACCAGAAAGGGACGGCUAACUACGUG
This 495-nucleotide ribosomal RNA is filed under the name uncultured bacterium. RNAcentral describes it as "partial 16S ribosomal RNA". It matches the Rfam family "Bacterial small subunit ribosomal RNA", at positions 28 to 507 of the family's 1533-position model. The record is from RNAcentral.